Molecule: ribosomal RNA, 253 nt
Filed under: uncultured bacterium
Lineage: Bacteria
Description: partial 16S ribosomal RNA
Rfam family: Bacterial small subunit ribosomal RNA
Source: RNAcentral
UACGGGGGGGGCAAGCGUUGUUCGGAAUUACUGGGCGUAAAGGGCUCGUAGGCGGCCAACUAAGUCAGACGUGAAAUCCCUCAGCUUAACUGGGGAACUGCGUCUGAUACUGGAUGGCUUGGAUUUGGGAGAGGGAUGCGGAAUUCCUGGUGUAGCGGUGAAAUGCGCAGAUAUCAGGAGGAACACCGGUGGCGAAGGCGGUUCUCUGGGCCUUACCUGACGCUCAUGCACGAAAGCGUGGGGAGCAAACAGG